AUUCUGGCCUCUUAUUGGCGUCUUUUUUGAGUAUUGCAAAUCCAUUUUAUGACUUUUAGAGAGAUUUUUGAAACUUUCAUGAACAAGAUUUGAGCGCCCGCCAAAAUCGAAAUGAGCAAAAGCUCCCCAAGAGAGCGACAAUGGCACAGAGGCGCUGUUUAAAGGGGAUUCCGGUGAAGCUCACUAUCAGUAAACGAACCCGUAGAACUUACACCUCAUAGGCCACAGGCAACAACAAAAAUAUUUUCAAUAGUAAAUAAAUAAAUUUCUUUAAAAGAUGUCACACCACAAAAUACAGCAAGUAUUCUUUUGUUAAUUGAAGAGUGUAAUAAACUCAAUUGAAAAUAUUUGCAUAGAUAUGCCAGAAUACAAUAUUUCAAUUCACACUCACUGGCUAAAUUAUUGACUGCCGAGCAACUGCACAGAACGCUGAUUAAAUUCAAACUGAACA
This is a long non-coding RNA of Drosophila ananassae, 451 nucleotides long. RefSeq lists it as uncharacterized. NCBI's taxonomy places the organism in Eukaryota, Metazoa, Arthropoda, Insecta, Diptera, Drosophilidae. The record is from RefSeq and is a predicted model, not a curated record. The transcript is spliced from 2 exons.